GAUGAACGCUGGCGGCGUGCCUAAUACAUGCAAGUCGAGCGAACAGACGAGGAGCUUGCUCCUCUGACGUUAGCGGCGGACGGGUGAGUAACACGUGGAUAACCUACCUAUAAGACUGGGAUCACUUCGGGAAACCGGAGCUAAUACCGGAUAAUAUAUUGAACCGCAUGGUUCAAUAGUGAAAGACGGUUUUGCUGUCACUUAUAGAUGGAUCCGCGCCGCAUUAGCUAGUUGGUAAGGUAACGGCUUACCAAGGCAACGAUGCGUAGCCGACCUGAGAGGGUGAUCGGCCACACUGGAACUGAGACACGGUCCAGACUCCUACGGGAGGCAGCAGUAGGGAAUCUUCCGCAAUGGGCGAAAGCCUGACGGAGCAACGCCGCGUGAGUGAUGAAGGUCUUCGGAGCGUAAAGCUCUGUUAUUAGGGAAGAACAAAUGUGUAAGUAACUAUGCACGUCUUGACGGUACCUAAUCAGAAAGCCACGGCUAACUACGUG
RNAcentral lists this ribosomal RNA (497 nucleotides) under uncultured bacterium. RNAcentral describes it as "partial 16S ribosomal RNA". It matches the Rfam family "Bacterial small subunit ribosomal RNA", at positions 28 to 507 of the family's 1533-position model. The record is from RNAcentral.